Long non-coding RNA from Papaver somniferum (opium poppy), 1877 nucleotides. RefSeq lists it as uncharacterized. The record is from RefSeq and is a predicted model, not a curated record. Lineage: Eukaryota; Viridiplantae; Streptophyta; Magnoliopsida; Ranunculales; Papaveraceae. The transcript is spliced from 7 exons.
AACUCUAUCAGUUUCUUUUCUCUAUCUAGAAGAAAACCGAAUUUUACCCCCUAAAUCUCCAAACCUAAAUCUCAGCAUCGAAAACAUUCGUUUCGAGUUUCAACUCUAUUCAGAUCGUGUCGACCAUGGUAAAAGCUAAAUCGACUAUCUGUUCUAGAAGAUAAAUUCUGAAUGGAAAGGAAAAGUUGUGGAGAAUCAAUAUCAGCAAACUAUUUUGAAGAUUUCAUCAUUGAAAGCGAUUGGAAAGAUAAGUAUAAUCUAUUCUUAUCAUUUGAAUUUGAUUACACUCUUGAUUUUUCGAUUUUGAAAUCUGAUUUCAGAAAAAAUAAAUACAGUUCAAUAAAACCUAAUUUUUUUGAUUUCAAUUCGAACUUAUUUUUGGAUUCAUAGUCAUAUCUUGGAUUUGUAACAAUAUGUGAAUUGAAAACUACGAAGUUUCGCCAAAUUGUACGCAGUUAAUCUCUGCAAUUCGAUCCAUCUCUCAAUUCAAUCACAAUUCAAAAUUCAGAUUGGUAAUCAGCAUGUCUUAAUCUUCAUUACCCAUCAAACAAAAACAAACUCUAAUUGUUGAUACGUGUAUUAUGUUUAGAACAAAAUCGUGUGUAGAUUUGUUCCAAGACUGUUGUACAAAAUCAUGAGUUCAACUCAUUAAAGAGUAGUAGGUCAAGAGGGAAAGUGAGGCAUAUCAAUUGAAAUGCAAAAGAAUAUGUUGUUUACUUCUAUUGAACAAAGUAUAUUACACUCCAUGCGUGUAUACAAAAAUAGAGAGUUGAUUUUGUUGCAGGUUGAUAGGAGUUCAGUCUUCUAUAACUAGAAGAUGAUUAUGGGGUUAGCCAAGUUUCAUCGAACUUUGGAAUGAGGGACCAAUAAGAGGAAACCGAUUGGAACAUGAGCAAAAGCCUGAGAAUAAAACCUGAAGAGGUAUCCAUCGACGUCUUGCUGGAGGCAUUAUGUGUGUUUGAGAUGUAUUUCACUUGACGCCUAGUAUUAUUUACUCUCUUAUUCUGCUUGUCUUAUUCUCACAUCCGAAAAACGGGAGGAGAGGGAGUAUAUCAAUGAUCCUAAUGAUGUUGAACCUGAGAGUUUGAAUAUGAUCCUGAUAUUACAGGGACUCAAUAAUUCCUAGGCCACUCGAAAGAACAUUUGAUUUACAGGAUUAGUGUCACUUGAGCCCUGUGGGGUCGGUACACAAUACAUUGCGUUGUGGCACGUAUACAUAAUAUAUGUAUUACAGUAUAUGUUCUUGAAUGAAAGCCUUAUGCACCUGAACUUGGCUGGAACUCAUAGAAAGCAAAGGAUAAGCAAAAAGAUAUACGUGACAUAGAGUGAAUGAUAAAGGAGCUGUUGGCAUCUUUCGAUCUCCCAUUUCAUAGAUUAUGGACAAUUGAUCAAACUUCCGAUAUCUGGUACACAUGCAAGAUGAAACGACAAAAACAAAUUCGAGGGUGGUGUCAAACAAACUGGAACUCAAAAGAGCCAUAUGAUUUACCAAGCACGAAAAUUGCAGCUUUUUUAAGUCGCAGUAAAGUUGUGAAACUACUAGAUGGUGGAACAACAUCAACAUCAAUUGCAAGAGAUUCAGUUUAUGCUUAGGAUGACCUUCAUUAGUACCUGCAUCUACAGAGCCUCUACUGCAAUCCUAAAUUGUAUAUGGAGGUAUGAUUAAUAUGCUUUGUUAAGCCGAAAAAUGAAACAAGGGAAGGAUAUAAUCAUUUGUCUAAGUAUACAUCGUUGAUGGACUAGUUCAUUAUUAAAAUAUUGAUAGUCAGGUUAUUGUAGCGAAAUGAUGGUCUAAAUUGCACUGAUAUAGUGCUUGUUGUAAAUUAAAAUGCACAAUAUUUGCCUCUUAUCAGUUUUCAAUUUUGGCAACUUGUAUA